CGGGACGGGUGGGUAAUGUCUGGGAAACGUGCCUGAUGGAGGGGGAUAACUACUGGAAACGGUAGCUAAUACCGCAUAACGUCGCAAGACCAAAGAGGGGACCUUCGGGCCUCUUGCCAUCGGAUGUGCCCAGAUGGGAUUAGCUAGUAGGUGGGGUAACGGCUCACCUAGGCGACGAUCCCUAGCUGGUCUGAGAGGAUGACCAGCCACACUGGAACUGAGACACGGUCCAG
Molecule: ribosomal RNA, 233 nt
Filed under: uncultured bacterium
Lineage: Bacteria
Description: partial 16S ribosomal RNA
Rfam family: Bacterial small subunit ribosomal RNA
Source: RNAcentral